GCUGGGUGUGGUGGUGCUCACUUGUGGUCCCAGCUACUUGGGAGGCUGAGGCAGGAGAAUCGCUUGAGCCCAGGAGUUCUAGGCUGCAGUGAGCUAUGAUCAAACCACUGCACUUCAGCCUGGGUGACAGAGGGAGACCCUGUUUCAA
Molecule: unclassified non-coding RNA, 148 nt
Organism: Papio anubis (olive baboon)
Lineage: Eukaryota; Metazoa; Chordata; Mammalia; Primates; Cercopithecidae
Rfam family: Metazoan signal recognition particle RNA
About the family: The signal recognition particle (SRP) is a universally conserved ribonucleoprotein. It is involved in the co-translational targeting of proteins to membranes.
Source: Ensembl